This is a non-coding RNA of Myotis davidii, 75 nucleotides long. The record is from Rfam. NCBI's taxonomy places the organism in Eukaryota, Metazoa, Chordata, Mammalia, Chiroptera, Vespertilionidae.
GAUGGGUCUCAGGUGACGCACCCUGGAAUCGGGCUCCCUCCUCUCUGGUUCCGGAUGCAUCAUCCAAGAACCGCC